This 1436-nucleotide ribosomal RNA is filed under the name uncultured organism. RNAcentral's name for it is "16S ribosomal RNA". It matches the Rfam family "Bacterial small subunit ribosomal RNA". The record is from RNAcentral.
GCUUAACACAUGCAAGUCGAGGGGCAGCAUGGUCUUAGCUUGCUAAGACUGAUGGCGACCGGCGCACGGGUGAGUAACACGUAUCCAACCUGCCGUCUACUCUUGGACAGCCUUCUGAAAGGAAGAUUAAUACAAGAUGGCAUCAUGAGUCCGCAUGUUCACAUGAUUAAAGGUAUUCCGGUAGACGAUGGGGAUGCGUUCCAUUAGAUAGUAGGCGGGGUAACGGCCCACCUAGUCUUCGAUGGAUAGGGGUUCUGAGAGGAAGGUCCACCACAUUGGAACUGAGACACGGUCCAAACUCCUACGGGAGGCAGCAGUGAGGAAUAUUGGUCAAUGGGCGAGAGCCUGAACCAGCCAAGUAGCGUGAAGGAUGACUGCCCUAUGGGUUGUAAACUUCUUUUAUAAAGGAAUAAAGUCGGGUAUGCAUACCCGUUUGCAUGUACUUUAUGAAUAAGGAUCGGCUAACUCCGUGCCAGCAGCCGCGGUAAUACGGAGGAUCCGAGCGUUAUCCGGAUUUAUUGGGUUUAAAGGGAGCGUAGAUGGAUGUUUAAGUCAGUUGUGAAAGUUUGCGGCUCAACCGUAAAAUUGCAGUUGAUACUGGAUAUCUUGAGUGCAGUUGAGGCAGGCGGAAUUCGUGGUGUAGCGGUGAAAUGCUUAGAUAUCACGAAGAACUCCGAUUGCGAAGGCAGCCUGCUAAGCUGCAACUGACAUUGAGGCUCGAAAGUGUGGGUAUCAAACAGGAUUAGAUACCCUGGUAGUCCACACGGUAAACGAUGAAUACUCGCUGUUUGCGAUAUACGGCAAGCGGCCAAGCGAAAGCGUUAAGUAUUCCACCUGGGGAGUACGCCGGCAACGGUGAAACUCAAAGGAAUUGACGGGGGCCCGCACAAGCGGAGGAACAUGUAGUUUAAUUCGAUGAUACGCGAGGAACCUUACCCGGGCUUAAAUUGCAGAUGAAUUACGGUGAAAGCCGUAAGCCGCAAGGCAUCUGUGAAGGUGCUGCAUGGUUGUCGUCAGCUCGUGCCGUGAGGUGUCGGCUUAAGUGCCAUAACGAGCGCAACCCUUGUUGUCAGUUACUAACAGGUUCCGCUGAGGACUCUGACAAGACUGCCAUCGUAAGAUGUGAGGAAGGUGGGGAUGACGUCAAAUCAGCACGGCCCUUACGUCCGGGGCUACACACGUGUUACAAUGGGGGGUACAGAGGGCCGCUACCACGCGAGUGGAUGCCAAUCCCAAAAACCUCUCUCAGUUCGGACUGGAGUCUGCAACCCGACUCCACGAAGCUGGAUUCGCUAGUAAUCGCGCAUCAACCACGGCGCGGUGAAUACGUUCCCGGGCCUUGUACACACCGCCCGUCAAGCCAUGGGAGCCGGGGGUACCUGAAGUGCGUAACCGCGAGGAGCGCCCUAGGGUAAAACUGGUGACUGGGGCUAAGU